AUGGAGUUUGGGCUGAGCUGGGUUUUCCUUGUUGCUAUUUUAAAAGGUGUCCAGUGUCAGGUGCAGCUGGUGGAGUCUGGGGGAGGCUUGCUCUCCUGUGCAGCUUCUGGAUUCACGUUCAGUGACUACAGGAUGUACUGGGUCCACCAGGCUCUGAGUAAGUGGCUGGAGUGGGUGGCCAACAUAAAGUAUGAUGGAGGUGAAAAAUACUACGCAGACUCCGUGAACGGCCGAUUCACCAUCUCCAGAGACAACGCCAAGAACUCGCUGUAUCUGCAGAUGAACAGCCUGAGAGCCGAGGACACGGCCAUGUAUUACUGUGCGGGACACAGUGAGGGGAAGUCAGUGUGA
Molecule: non-coding RNA, 351 nt
Organism: Callithrix jacchus (white-tufted-ear marmoset)
Lineage: Eukaryota; Metazoa; Chordata; Mammalia; Primates; Cebidae
Source: the annotation of a RefSeq genome assembly